GCGUCCAUUGUCUAAUGGAUAGGACAGAGGUCUUCAUAUUUUUUGGUAUAGGUUCAAAUCCUAUUGGACGCA
This 72-nucleotide transfer RNA is filed under the name Centaurea solstitialis (yellow star-thistle). RNAcentral's name for it is "tRNA-Sec". It matches the Rfam family "tRNA". Rfam says of the family: Transfer RNA (tRNA) molecules are approximately 80 nucleotides in length. Their secondary structure includes four short double-helical elements and three loops (D, anti-codon, and T loops). Lineage: Eukaryota; Viridiplantae; Streptophyta; Magnoliopsida; Asterales; Asteraceae. The record is from RNAcentral.